RNAcentral lists this ribosomal RNA (506 nucleotides) under uncultured bacterium. Its description in RNAcentral is "partial 16S ribosomal RNA". It matches the Rfam family "Bacterial small subunit ribosomal RNA", at positions 29 to 523 of the family's 1533-position model. The record is from RNAcentral.
AGUGAACGCUGGCGGUAGGCCUAACACAUGCAAGUCGAACGGCAGCACAGGAGAGCUUGCUCUCUGGGUGGCGAGUGGCGGACGGGUGAGGAAUACAUCGGAAUCUACUCUGUCGUGGGGGAUAACGUAGGGAAACUUACGCUAAUACCGCAUACGACCUACGGGUGAAAGCAGGGGACCUUCGGGCCUUGCGCGAUUGAAUGAGCCGAUGUCGGAUUAGCUAGUUGGCGGGGUAAAGGCCCACCAAGGCGACGAGCCGUAGCUGGUCUGAGAGGAUGAUCAGCCACACUGGAACUGAGACACGGUCCAGACUCCUACGGGAGGCAGCAGUGGGGAAUAUUGGACAAUGGGCGCAGGCCUGAUCCAGCCAUACCGCGUGGGUGAAGAAGGCCUUCGGGUUGUAAAGCCCUUUUGUUGGGAAAGAAAUCCAGCUGGCUAAUACCCGGUUGGGAUGACGGUACCCAAAGAAUAAGCACCGGCUAACUUCGUGCCAGCAGCCGCAGUAA